UACGUAGGGGGCAAGCGUUGUCCGGAUUUACUGGGCGUAAAGGGCUCGUAGGCGGCCAACUAAGUCAGACGUGAAAUCCCUCGGCUUAACCGGGGAACUGCGUCUGAUACUGGAUGGCUUGAGUUUGGGAGAGGGAUGCGGAAUUCCAGGUGUAGCGGUGAAAUGCGCAGAUAUCAGGAGGAACACCGAUGGCGAAGGCAGGUCUCUGGGCAUUAACUGACGCUGAGGAGCGAAAGCAUGGGGAGCGAACAGG
This 253-nucleotide ribosomal RNA is filed under the name uncultured bacterium. RNAcentral's name for it is "partial 16S ribosomal RNA". It matches the Rfam family "Bacterial small subunit ribosomal RNA", at positions 524 to 776 of the family's 1533-position model. The record is from RNAcentral.